AGAGUUUGAUCCUGGCUCAGAAUCAACGCUGGCGGCGCGCUUAACACAUGCAAGUCGAACGGGAAAGUGGAGCAAUCCAUGAGUACAGUGGCGUACGGGUGAGUAACACGUGGGUAAUCUACCUCUUAGUGGGGAAUAACCCUGGGAAACCGGGGCUAAUACCGCAUAAGCCUGAGAAGGGAAAGCAGCAAUGCGCUGAGAGAGGAGCCCGCGGCCGAUUAGCUAGUUGGUAGGGUAAAGGCCUACCAAGGCAGAGAUCGGUAGCCGGCCUGAGAGGGCACACGGCCACACUGGCACUGAAACACGGGCCAGACUCCUACGGGAGGCAGCAGUGGGGAAUCUUGCACAAUGGGGGCAACCCUGAUGCAGCGACGCCGCGUGAGCGAUGAAGCCCUUCGGGGUGUAAAGCUCUUUCGUCAGGGAAGAUUAUGACGGUACCUGGAGAAGCAGCUGCGGCUAACUACGUGCCAGCAGCCGCGGUAAUACGUAGGCAGCGAGCGUUGUUCGGAGUUACUGGGCGUAAAGGGUGUGUAGGCGGUUCUUUAAGUUUGGUGUGAAAUCUCCCGGCUCAACCGGGAGGGUGCGCCGAAUACUGAGGGACUAGAGUGCGGGAGAGGAAAGUGGAAUUCCUGGUGUAGCGGUGAAAUGCGUAGAUAUCAGGAGGAACACCGGUGGUGUAGACGGCUUUCUGGACCGUAACUGAGCUGAGACACGAAAGCGUGGGUAGCAAACAGGAUUAGAUACCCUAGUAGUCC
RNAcentral lists this ribosomal RNA (755 nucleotides) under uncultured bacterium. Its description in RNAcentral is "bacterial SSU rRNA". It matches the Rfam family "Bacterial small subunit ribosomal RNA", at positions 8 to 796 of the family's 1533-position model. The record is from RNAcentral.